AACGAACGCUGGCGGCAUGCCUAACACAUGCAAGUCGAACGAGACCUUCGGGUCUAGUGGCGCACGGGUGCGUAACGCGUGGGAACCUGCCCUUAGGUUCGGAAUAACUCUCCGAAAGGGGUGCUAAUACCGGAUAAUGUCUUCGGACAAAAGAUGGAUCGCCUUAGGAGGGGCCCGCGUUGGAUUAGCUAGUUGGUAGGGUAAAAGCCUACCAAGGCGACGAUACAUAGCUGGGCUGAGAGGAUGAUCAGCCACACUGGGACUGGGACACGGCACAGACUACUACGGGAGGGGGCAGUGGGGAAUAUUGGACAAUGGGCGAAGGGCUGAUCCAGCAAGGCCGCGUAAGUGAUGAAGGCCUGAGAGAUGAAAAGCUCUUUUACCCGGGAUGAUAAUGACAGUACCGAGAGAAUAAGCACCGGCUAACUCCGUG
Molecule: ribosomal RNA, 433 nt
Filed under: uncultured bacterium
Lineage: Bacteria
Description: partial 16S ribosomal RNA
Rfam family: Bacterial small subunit ribosomal RNA
Source: RNAcentral